GAAACGCGAUAGUUAAUGUGAAUUGCAGAAUUCAGUGAAUCAUCGAGUCUUUGAACGCACAUUGCGCCCAUAGGUAUUCCUUUGGGCAUGUCUGUUUGAGCGUCAUUACAACCCUCAGCUAACCGCUGGUUUUGAACCUGAACGGGUGACACCGCGCCGGUUUUAAAGUUGUAAGCUCUGCUGGCCGCUCUGCCCAACCAGAACAUAGUAAGCACUACUUGUCCGGGUGAAGCUGAACGGUACGGCCUGAACAAAACCUACCCACUCUCAAGGUUUGACCUCAGAUCUGACAAGGAUACCCGCUGAACUUAAGC
RNAcentral lists this unclassified non-coding RNA (314 nucleotides) under plant metagenome. RNAcentral's name for it is "partial contains 5.8S ribosomal RNA, internal transcribed spacer 2, and large subunit ribosomal RNA". The stretch from base 1 to 105 matches the Rfam family "5.8S ribosomal RNA", at positions 50 to 154 of the family's 154-position model. The record is from RNAcentral.